This 160-nucleotide ribosomal RNA is filed under the name Ascochyta medicaginicola. RNAcentral describes it as "5.8S ribosomal RNA". It matches the Rfam family "5.8S ribosomal RNA". From Rfam's summary of the family: 5.8S ribosomal RNA (5.8S rRNA) is a component of the large subunit of the eukaryotic ribosome. It is transcribed by RNA polymerase I as part of the 45S precursor that also contains 18S and 28S rRNA. Lineage: Eukaryota; Fungi; Ascomycota; Dothideomycetes; Pleosporales; Didymellaceae. The record is from RNAcentral.
AACUUUCAACUACGGAUCUCUUGGUUCUGGCAUCGAUGAAGAACGCAGCGAAAUGCGAUAAGUAGUGUGAAUUGCAGAAUUCAGUGAAUCAUCGAAUCUUUGAACGCACAUUGCGCCCCUUGGUAUUCCAUGGGGCAUGCCUGUUCGAGCGUCAUUUGUA